Molecule: ribosomal RNA, 323 nt
Filed under: Assulina sp.
Lineage: Eukaryota; Cercozoa; Imbricatea; Euglyphida; Euglyphidae
Description: SSU rRNA
Rfam family: Eukaryotic small subunit ribosomal RNA (bases 105-323)
Source: RNAcentral
GAUUUCUGGCGAACCGGCUCAACCCGAUACUGUAUGGUAUUGAGUGCUGAGUCGUGUUGGUCAUCCUUCCGGAAAGCUGCGUCUACCAUUCAGUUGGCCGGACGUACGUGAUCCGGAUCUAUUACUUUGAAAAAAUUAGAGUGUUUAAAGCAGGCUUACGCUAUGAAUACAUUAGCAUGGAAUAAUAAUUUAGGACUUUGGUUCUAUUUUGUUGGUUUCUAGGACUGAAGUAAUGAUUGAUAGGGAUAGUUGGGGGUGCUAGUAUUCCGCGGCCAGAGGUGAAAUUCUUGGAUUCGCGGAAGACUAACUACUGCGAAAGCAUU